Molecule: ribosomal RNA, 439 nt
Filed under: uncultured bacterium
Lineage: Bacteria
Description: partial 16S ribosomal RNA
Rfam family: Bacterial small subunit ribosomal RNA
Source: RNAcentral
CUACGGGGUGCUGCAGUGGGGAAUAUUGGACAAUGGAGGCAACUCUGAUCCAGCCAUGCCGCGUGAGUGAAGAAGGCCUUAGGGUUGUAAAGCUCUUUCAGAUGUGACGAUGAUGACGGUAACAUCAGAAGAAGCCCCGGCUAACUUCGUGCCAGCAGCCGCGGUAAUACGAAGGGGGCUAGCGUUGUUCGGAAUUACUGGGCGUAAAGCGCGCGUAGGCGGCUUGAUCAGUCAGAGGUGAAAUCCCGGGGCUCAACCCCGGAACUGCCUUUGAUACUGUCAAGCUAGAGCUCGGAAGAGGGUGGCGGAAUACCCAGUGUAGAGGUGAAAUUCGUAGAUAUUGGGUAGAACACCAGUGGCGAAGGCGGCCACCUGGUCCGUAGCUGACGCUGAGGUGCGAAAGCGUGGGGAGCAAACAGGAUUAGAUACCCCGGUAGUC